UCGCUUUCCUGAGCUUCUGUAGCAGAGACUAAAAUGGAAGAUUCUUUUCCUAAGUAAAACGUACUCUCCGUAUGCUUUUGACGUUGGAAGAGGAAAAGAUCAUCUUGUGGUGUCUAGCGACACCAUGUGGAUAAAAGGGAUGAAGCCUGCUUGAUCUUGGUGAAUGGGAUGUGGAGAGUUCUCAGUGAAAAACAUGUUUUCAUCCUGACCAUCAUCUGGAGACAGGGAUAGACAGGAUGUUUUACCAAGCCCACUUCCUUUUUUGUGUGUGAGGAUCACACAGACAAGUGAUCAAGGAACUGUUUGACUCUAUUGGCCAGUUUGGCACCUGAAUGGGGACUUGAGAUGCAAGGAAGCAGUGAAGGACACUGUGGUGUUGGCGAGCUCAGAUUAUAAACUAAAGAGAAAAGGUCAUGAGUGAAGAAGGGGUUGGGAUCCAGUGAAGCAGAAAAAAAUACCUCUCCCUGGAAGCAGGAGCCAGAGACAGAUUGAGAAGCCUCAAGCAUCUGAUCUGCAACAGACUCAACUCCCUGGAGGUCUUUUGGGGAGUCUCAUAAAUUGGGCAUAACAUUUGGUGCAUUGGCGGGGAACCCCAAGACACCCUGGACCCCUGAGCCAGAGGAUCAGA
Molecule: long non-coding RNA, 628 nt
Organism: Meriones unguiculatus (Mongolian gerbil)
Lineage: Eukaryota; Metazoa; Chordata; Mammalia; Rodentia; Muridae
Exons: 5
Source: RefSeq, a predicted model, not a curated record